ACUUAAGUAGUUUAAAAAGAAAAAUGGUGAUUUGUGGUGUCAUAGAUGUAGUUUAAUACCUUAGGUU
RNAcentral lists this transfer RNA (67 nucleotides) under Euconocephalus nasutus. RNAcentral describes it as "tRNA-His". Lineage: Eukaryota; Metazoa; Arthropoda; Insecta; Orthoptera; Tettigoniidae. The record is from RNAcentral.